This 374-nucleotide long non-coding RNA is filed under the name Elaeis guineensis (African oil palm). RNAcentral's name for it is "long non-coding RNA (EGUI_LNC070769)". Lineage: Eukaryota; Viridiplantae; Streptophyta; Magnoliopsida; Arecales; Arecaceae. The record is from RNAcentral.
CGCCGUUCUCCUGUGCUCCUGGGGUUGAUCUAGGUUAGUUUCGAUACUUUCUGUUGUUUUCCUAUCCUUCUUUCUUCGUAUUCUGUUUAUUUAGCUUUUUUGAGGGCCUGUCUGCUAUUUUUUCCAAUUUUUUGAGAUUUUUGUGGCUUCCAUCUGAUCCAAAAUAUCCUCUGAUAUCUCCUCCUCUAGCAGUUCUAGGAGUUCGUCAGCCCCAGUUCCCCAUAGUACCGGUACCGUAGACGAACCCGUAGCUAGGAUCGAACCUUGUUCGGCCUUUGCGCCAGACACCAUCCCCGGUUCCUUGACUCCGGAUGAACUCUCACUGAUAAGGAUUCAGUAUGGAGUUCCUCCGGAGUACGAGCUGGAGCUUCCCG